UUUCUGGUGGUCCAGUGGUUAGGACUUGGCACUUUCACUGCCAUGGCCCUAGGUUCAAACCCUAGUAGGGGAA
This 73-nucleotide transfer RNA is filed under the name Bos taurus (domestic cattle). It matches the Rfam family "tRNA". Rfam says of the family: Transfer RNA (tRNA) molecules are approximately 80 nucleotides in length. RNAcentral also lists the same sequence under 5 other names. The record is from Rfam by way of RNAcentral. Lineage: Eukaryota; Metazoa; Chordata; Mammalia; Artiodactyla; Bovidae.